Molecule: long non-coding RNA, 2010 nt
Organism: Homo sapiens (human)
Lineage: Eukaryota; Metazoa; Chordata; Mammalia; Primates; Hominidae
Gene: MIR99AHG
Product: mir-99a-let-7c cluster host gene
Source: Ensembl
CUAUGACACUUAGAGAAGAUGUCUUUUGAUUUUUCCCAUCUAACUAGAAAUUUCUGGCCUUCUUCAACCUUCAUGUAAUAGUGAAUUUAUUGAUACUGCAUUUGCAAGGUUGACGUUUCAUUUCUAAGAAAAGAAUGUUUACUACAAUUAGAUGAGAAGAGUCUCUUCUGGUCAAAGAAGAUCUCUUAAGAGUAGUUCACAUGGGGAAAAGAAAAAUGGAUCUGAGAACGCUGUCUGGGCUUGGUACCAAGAGCUGGUAUUUCACAGCAGCGACCGCCUCACAGACGAGCUGUGGGAAGCAGGAGGGAGACUCUCUCUUAGGGUGCCACUACUAUGGAGACACAGCUGGGCUGAACAAGAUUUGCUUCAAACGACAACAAGAGAGACAGAAAGUAUCUGGUUCAACCGCUGCCCGAGCAGGCAGGCACCAGAAGAGCUAGCAGCCAAUCCGGCCAUGCUCGAAGCCAGCUCUGCAGCUCAGCCAAUCAGUGACAUCAUUGCUUUCUUUAGCUUGCCCAUGGUGAUGUGAAGAUGAGAAGAAAUAGCAAGGCCCAACCAGUUCUUCAUCUGGAGACAGUUCAACGUUCUGCAAACCAGAUCUUCAGGAAUUUUACUGGGAUAAUUAUCCAAAUAAAUUGCAAGCAUUCUAUCCAAAUGGAGCUCUUUCUGAGAUGAAGAGAAUUCUCAAUGUCAAGAUUUGAACAAGAAGAGAAUGGAAUACACAAUAUGGACAUCCAUAAAAAUUCAUCAGAGAGCAUUUUACUACUGAGCUGCAAAGAUGACAAGAGCACCUCAAAGGCAGCAGCCUCAAGGAGCAGCCAUGGCCCCAGACUUGUCGCACGGAUGCAGAAAACUUAAUGGAGGAGGCUGAGUCAAAUCAGGAGCUUUAGAAAAUACUGAUGCCUGGCUCUCAACCAGAGAGAACUGAACUGAAUUGGUCUGGUGAAUUCAUUAAAAGAGCUAACAACAAUGAAGUUAAUGUACGCAUCUCACCUCUCAAGAGUAUUAACAGGCCAGGCGUGUUGGCUCAUACCUGUAAUCCCAGCACUUUGGGAGGCCAAGGCGGGCGGAUCACCCAAGAAUGGGAUAACUGCCUGGCACUCACCAAGCUACACUUGAAGAGGAUCAAUCCAUGUCAUCAUGUCCCCAAUUUCAUAGCACCAAGUAUUUUGUUUAUUCACAAAUGCCCUAUUAUGGACAUCUAGCAAACAAUGAUACAUCAGAAAAGGAGAUGUGCAUAAAUUUUCAUGGAAUAAGGUAUAAAGCCCAACUCUCAAUACAUACUAAUCAUAACAGGAGUCUAAGAAAUAUUCUGAAAUAAAUGGGAAUGCAGAAUGUGUCAGGCCUCUGAGCCCAAGCUAAGCCAUCAUAUCCCCUGUGACCAGCACGUACACAUCCAGAUGGCCGGUUCCUGCCUUAACUGAUGACAUUCCACCACAAAAGAAAUUAAAAUGGCCUGUUCUUGCCUUAACUGAUGACAUUAUCUUGUGAAAUUCCUUCUCCUGGCUCAUCCUGGCUCAAAAGCUCCCCAACUGAGCAUCUUGUGACCCCCACUCUUGCCUGCCAGAGAACAACCCCACUUUUUCCUUUACCUACCCAAAUCCUAUAAAACAGCCCCACCCCUAUCUCCCUUCGCUGACUCUCUUUUUGGACUCAGCCCGCCUGCACCCAGGUGAUUAAAAUCUUUAUUGCUCACACAAAGCCUGUUUGGUGAUCUCUUCACAGGGAUGCGCAUGAAAGAAUGUGCCACAGAAAAUGAGACACAUCAAUGAGGGUAGGUUUGAAAUACCAAUUUAAAGCAGACUUUCACCGUUUGGCCAGGCUAUAAACAUUAAAAAUCCAUAACUAAGAUCUUACUAUAUAUUCAGGCAUUUUAAGAACUCUGCAUAUAUAAUUACAUUUGACCCUUCUAAUGCCUUUAUCAGAUAGGUUCUAUUAUUGCUCUUUUUUAAAUAAAGAAGAUAAACUUUGAAGAGAUUAAUAAAUUAAUAAAUUGGUCCUCCAUGACAC